Molecule: small nuclear RNA, 70 nt
Filed under: Cervus elaphus hippelaphus
Lineage: Eukaryota; Metazoa; Chordata; Mammalia; Artiodactyla; Cervidae
Rfam family: U2 spliceosomal RNA
About the family: U2 is a small nuclear RNA (snRNA) component of the spliceosome (involved in pre-mRNA splicing). Complementary binding between U2 snRNA (in an area lying towards the 5' end but 3' to hairpin I) and the branchpoint sequence (BPS) of the intron results the bulging out of an unpaired adenosine, on the BPS, which initiates a nucleophilic attack at the intronic 5' splice site, thus starting the first of two transesterification reactions that mediate splicing.
Source: RNAcentral
AUUGCUUCCCUGUCUUUUGGCUAAGAUCAAGUGUAGUAUCAGUUAUCAGUUUAAUAGCUGAUACGCCCUC